This 405-nucleotide ribosomal RNA is filed under the name Triticum aestivum (bread wheat). Its description in RNAcentral is "partial small subunit ribosomal RNA". Lineage: Eukaryota; Viridiplantae; Streptophyta; Magnoliopsida; Poales; Poaceae. The record is from RNAcentral.
AUGGCCAAAUAUUGGUGGAGUAGCAGCCUAGGUCGCCGGUAUUUACAUUGGUUAUCUUGGGACUCACUAGUUGCGCCAAAAGUUAAAGGAGGGAUGGGAUUCAAGGACCUGCAGCUCUUUAACCUAGCACUACUUGGCAAGCACGGGUGGCGCUUGAUGACGAAUCCCAACUCUCUGUGCUCACGGGUCUUAAAAGGUAGAUACUUUCAUUCCUUCGAUUUCAUGCAAGCCACUGCACCUAAGUACCCAUCGGCAGUGUGGCAGGCGAUAAUCGCAGGCAGAGAAGCUUUGAAGUCGGGCUUGAUUAAGCACAUUGGAAGUGGCACGACCGUUUCUAUCUGGGAGGACAAAUGGAUCCCCGAUACCAGAACGAUGAGUCUGGUUGCUCAUAUUGGUAAUGCGUAG